UUUUUUUUUUAAAGUUUUUUUUAGGUGGCUGUGCUACAGAAACACUGGUAACCAAACAACAGUGCUAGGUGGCUGUGCUACAGAAACACUGCUAACCAAACAACAGUGCUAGGUGGCUGUGCUACAGAAACACCGCUAACCAAACAACAGUGCUAGGUGGCUGUGCUACAGAAACACUGCUAACCAAACAACAGUGUUAGGGGUCUGUGCUACAGAAACACUGCUAACCAAACAACAGUGCUAGGUGGCUGUGCUACAGAAACACCGCUAACCAAACAACAGUGCUAGGUGGCUGUGCUACAGAAACACUGCUAACCAAACAACAGUGCUAGGUGGCUGUGCUACAGAAACACCGCUAACCAAACAACAGUGCUAGGUGGCAGUGCUACAGAAACACUG
This is a long non-coding RNA of Oncorhynchus tshawytscha (Chinook salmon), 399 nucleotides long. The record is from Ensembl. NCBI's taxonomy places the organism in Eukaryota, Metazoa, Chordata, Actinopteri, Salmoniformes, Salmonidae.